This 253-nucleotide ribosomal RNA is filed under the name uncultured bacterium. RNAcentral describes it as "partial 16S ribosomal RNA". It matches the Rfam family "Bacterial small subunit ribosomal RNA", at positions 524 to 776 of the family's 1533-position model. The record is from RNAcentral.
UACGGGGGGGGCAAGCGUUGUUCGGAAUUACUGGGCGUAAAGGGCUCGUAGGUGGCCAACUAAGUCAGACGUGAAAUCCCCCGGCUUAACCUGGGAACUGCGUCUGAUACUGGACGGCUUGAGUAUGGGAGAGGGAUGUAGAAUUCCAGGUGUAGCGGUGAAAUGCGUAGAUAUCUGGAGGAAUACCGGUGGCGAAGGCGGCAUCCUGGAUCAUUACUGACGCUGAGGCGCGAAAGCGUGGGGAGCAAACAGG